RNAcentral lists this long non-coding RNA (606 nucleotides) under Marmota monax (woodchuck). The record is from RNAcentral. Lineage: Eukaryota; Metazoa; Chordata; Mammalia; Rodentia; Sciuridae.
UAAAGGGCAGGGAUCCACAAGACUUCUAAGUGUGAGACGGCUCUUUCCCACUCUCGCCAGAUUUAGUCAUCAAAAUAGCGAGGGAGGGAGUCUGUGAAGGCCUCACUGAGAACGUGCCACUGAACAAUAAUUUAAAGAGAGUCGAAUCAGGUAAGUGCAAAGGCCCGGAGACAGAUUGCUUGUUCAAAAAACAGCAAGGAGUCCAAUGAGGGGGGAGAGAGCAUGGCUAUAGAAGAGGUGAGAAAGGUAGUGGGAAGAAGGUGGAGAAUCCAGAUCCUUUGGGGAUUGUGGGUUAUUUUGAGGGUAAUGAAUUUUGCUGUGAGUGAGUUAGGAAGCUAACAGAUUGUUGAGCAGAGAAAUAUGACAGGGUUUUAAAAGAUAACUCUGGUGGUUGUAUUGACAAUAAACUCCCUGGAAGCAAGUAAGGAGACCACUUAAGGGGCUGCAAUUGACUGAGAGACAUCAAAGGCCUAAGUCUAGAAACUUCCACAAUUGUGAGAAAUAAUAAUAAUAAGAUAAUUGUUGAGGUGGUUUGUUAAGCUACAGUAGAUAACCUGAACAAGGGCUGGUCUCUCCACAAUUCCUGCAAUUUGUCCUAAUCUUUGG